Molecule: ribosomal RNA, 492 nt
Filed under: uncultured bacterium
Lineage: Bacteria
Description: partial 16S ribosomal RNA
Rfam family: Bacterial small subunit ribosomal RNA
Source: RNAcentral
AGUGAGCGCUGGCGGUAGGCCUAACACAUGCAAGUCGAACGGCAGCACAGUAAGAGCUUGCUCUUACGGGUGGCGAGUGGCGGACGGGUGAGGAAUACAUCGGAAUCUACUUUUUCGUGGGGGAUAACGUAGGGAAACUUACGCUAAUACCGCAUACGACCUACGGGUGAAAGCAGGGGAUCUUCGGACCUUGCGCGAUUGAAUGAGCCGAUGUCGGAUUAGCUAGUUGGCGGGGUAAAGGCCCACCAAGGCGACGAUCCGUAGCUGGUCUGAGAGGAUGAGCAGCCACACUGGAACUGAGACACGGUCCAGACUCCUACGGGAGGCAGCAGUGGGGAAUAUUGGACAAUGGGCGCAAGCCUGAUCCAGCCAUACCGCGUGGGUGAAGAAGGCCUUCGGGUUGUAAAGCCCUUUUGUUGGGAAAGAAAAGCAGCAGGUUAAUACCCCGCUGUUCUGACGGUACCCAAAGAAUAAGCACCGGCUAACUUCGUG